GUCGAGCGGGGAAAGGUAGCUUGCUACCUAACCUAGCGGCGGACGGGUGAGUAAUGCUUAGGAAUCUGCCUAUUAGUGGGGGACAACGUUUCGAAAGGAACGCUAAUACCGCAUACGCCCUACGGGGGAAAGCAGGGGCUCUUCGGACCUUGCGCUAAUAGAUGAGCCUAAGUCAGAUUAGCUAGUUGGUGGGGUAAAGGCCUACCAAGGCGACGAUCUGUAGCGGGUCUGAGAGGAUGAUCCGCCACACUGGGACUGAGACACGGCCCAGACUCCUACGGGAGGCAGCAGUGGGGAAUAUUGGACAAUGGGGGGAACCCUGAUCCAGCCAUGCCGCGUGUGUGAAGAAGGCCUUUUGGUUGUAAAGCACUUUAAGCGAGGAGGAGGCUCCUAUAGAUAAUACCUAUAGUGAGUGGACGUUACUCGCAGAAUAAGCACCGGCUAACUCUGUGCCAGCAGCCGCGGUAAUACAGAGGGUGCGAGCGUUAAUCGGAUUUACUGGGCGUAAAGCGUACGUAGGCGGCUUUUUAAGUCGGAUGUGAAAUCCCUGAGCUUAACUUAGGAAUUGCAUUCGAUACUGGGAAGCUAGAGUAUGGGAGAGGAUGGUAGAAUUCCAGGUGUAGCGGUGAAAUGCGUAGAGAUCUGGAGGAAUACCGAUGGCGAAGGCAGCCAUCUGGCCUAAUACUGACGCUGAGGUACGAAAGCAUGGGGAGCAAACAGGAUUAGAUACCCUGGUAGUCCAUGCCGUAAACGAUGUCUACUAGCCGUUGGGGCCUUUGAGGCUUUAGUGGCGCAGCUAACGCGAUAAGUAGACGCUGGGGAGUACGGUCGCAAGACUAAAACUCAAAUGAAUUGACGGGGGCCCGCACAAGCGGUGGAGCAUGUGGUUUAAUUCGAUGCAACGCGAAGAACCUUACCUGGUCUUGACAUAGUAAGAACUUUCCAGAGAUGGAUUGGUGCCUUCGGGAACUUACAUACAGGUGCUGCAAUGGCUGUCCUCAGCUCGUGUCGUGAGAUGUUGGGUUAAGUCCCGCAACGAGCGCAACCCUUUUCCUUAUUUGCCAGCGGGUUAAGCCGGGAACUUUAAGGAUACUGCCAGUGACAAACUGGAGGAAGGCGGGGACGACGUCAAGUCAUCAUGGCCCUUACGACCAGGGCUACACACGUGCUACAAUGGUCGGUACAAAGGGUUGCUACCUAGCGAUAGGAUGCUAAUCUCAAAAAGCCGAUCGUAGUCCGGAUUGGAGUCUGCAACUCGACUCCAUGAAGUCGGAAUCGCUAGUAAUCGCGGAUCAGAAUGCCGCGGUGAAUACGUUCCCGGGCCUUGUACACACCGCCCGUCACACCAUGGGAAUUUGUUGCACCAGAAGUAGGUAGUCUAACCGCAAG
This 1389-nucleotide ribosomal RNA is filed under the name bacterium 28W124. RNAcentral's name for it is "bacterial SSU rRNA". It matches the Rfam family "Bacterial small subunit ribosomal RNA". The record is from RNAcentral.